UAGGGAAUCUUCGGCAAUGGACGGAAGUCUGACCGAGCAACGCCGCGUGAGUGGAGAAGGUUUUCGGAUCGUAAAGCUCUGUUGUAAGAGAAGAACGAGUGUGAGAGUGGAAAGUUCACACUGUGACGGUAUCUUACCAGAAAGGGACGGCUAACUACGUGCCAGCAGCCGCGGUAAUACGUAGGUCCCGAGCGUUGUCCGGAUUUAUUGGGCGUAAAGCGAGCGCAGGCGGUUAGAUAAGUCUGAAGUUAAAGGCUGUGGCUUAACCAUAGUAGGCUUUGGAAACUGUUUAACUUGAGUGCAAGAGGGGAGAGUGGAAUUCCAUGUGUAGCGGUGAAAUGCGUAGAUAUAUGGAGGAACACCGGUGGCGAAAGCGGCUCUCUGGCUUGUAACUGACGCUGAGGCUCGAAAGCGUGGGGAGCAAACAGGAUUAGAUACCCUGGUAGUCCACGCUGUAAACGAUGAGUGCUAGGUGUUAGACCCUUUCCGGGGUUUAGUGCCGUAGCUAACGCAUUAAGCACUCCGCCUGGGGAGUACGACCGCAAGGUUG
This 550-nucleotide ribosomal RNA is filed under the name uncultured bacterium. RNAcentral's name for it is "bacterial SSU rRNA". It matches the Rfam family "Bacterial small subunit ribosomal RNA", at positions 355 to 896 of the family's 1533-position model. The record is from RNAcentral.